GGCUUCGUAGUUCAACUGGAUAGAAUAUCGGAUUUCGGCUCCGAGGGUUGGGGGUUCGAACCCCUCCGAAGUCACUA
This 77-nucleotide transfer RNA is filed under the name Chryseobacterium sp. JAH. RNAcentral's name for it is "tRNA-Arg". It matches the Rfam family "tRNA". Rfam says of the family: Transfer RNA (tRNA) molecules are approximately 80 nucleotides in length. Lineage: Bacteria; Pseudomonadati; Bacteroidota; Flavobacteriia; Flavobacteriales; Weeksellaceae. The record is from RNAcentral. RNAcentral also lists the same sequence under 1 other name.